CCCACUUUCUGCCUCAAUUUUACCCUUUAUUCAAGGGAAUUCUGUGGGCAGGAGAAGAACGGAGCAGCAGACAGCAAGACCUCAAACCUCAGCCCGCCACGUCUCAGAGUUGUCAGCUUGGGGGCUUCGGGUGGGAGCGGAGCCUCCAGAAAGUGUGUUGCUGGGAUGUCAGGAAGUCCUCCUGCUCUCUGCCCUCAAGGCUCCCUGCUCUCUUCCCAUGGGCCCUGACUGGCUCACCUGAAUUGCUGGGGGAAAGGAGUGCUCAGAGUUUUCCAGAAGCCACAUGACAUGUGAUAGUGCAGCAUGUUGAAUUAAGAUGCAGACACGAGAAGUCAACUGUCUUCUAUUAACCCUUAAAAAGAGCUGUGAAAAUGUGAAACAAUGCCAUUCUUACUAAACUUUUUUUAAAAUAUGACUAUUUUCAUUAA
Molecule: long non-coding RNA, 428 nt
Organism: Myotis brandtii (Brandt's bat)
Lineage: Eukaryota; Metazoa; Chordata; Mammalia; Chiroptera; Vespertilionidae
Exons: 3
Source: RefSeq, a predicted model, not a curated record